CCCGGAGAAAUCCGGCCUAAUACCGCAUGUGGCCGAGGGGAGGCAUCUUCUUUCGGCCAAAGGAGGCGACUCCGGAGACGGAUGGGCAUGCGUGACAUUAGCUUGUUGGCGGGGUAACGGCCCACCAAGGCGACGAUGUCUAGGGGUUCUGAGAGGAAGGUCCCCCACACUGGUACUGAGACACGGACCAGACUCCUACGGGAGGCAGCAGUGAGGAAUAUUGGUCAAUGGGCGAGAGCCUGAACCAGCCAAGUCGCGUGAAGGAUGACGGCCCUAUGGGUUGUAAACUUCUUUUGUCAGGGAGCAAUUGGGUCCACGCGUGGGCUUAGCGAGAGUACCUGAAGAAAAAGCAUCGGCUAACUCCGUGCCAGCAGCCGCGGUAAUACGGAGGAUGCGAGCGUUAUCCGGAUUUAUUGGGUUUAAAGGGUGCGUAGGCGGAAUAUCAAGUCAGCGGUAAAAAUUCGGGGCUCAACCCCGUCGUGCCGUUGAAACUGAUGUUCUUGAGUGGGCGAGAAGUAUGCGGAAUGCGUGGUGUAGCGGUGAAAUGCAUAGAUAUCACGCAGAACUCCGAUUGCGAAGGCAGCAUACCGGCGCCCAACUGACGCUGAAGCACGAAAGCGUGGGUAUCGAACAGGAUUAGAUACCCUGGUAGUCCACGCAGUAAACG
Molecule: ribosomal RNA, 667 nt
Filed under: uncultured bacterium
Lineage: Bacteria
Description: bacterial SSU rRNA
Rfam family: Bacterial small subunit ribosomal RNA
Source: RNAcentral